CCUACGGGUGGCAGCAGUGGGGAAUAUUGGUCAAUGGGCGAAAGCCUGACCCAGCCACGCCGCGUGAGGGAAGAAGGCUUUCUGGUUGUAAACUUCUUUUGACAGGGAAGAGCAGCAGACGGUACCUGUCGAAUAAGCCACGGCUAACUACGUGCCAGCAGCCGCGGUAAUACGUAGGUGGCACGCGUUGUCCGGAUUUACUGGGUGUAAAGGGCGUGUAGCCGGGCUGACAAGUCCGAUGUGAAAUCCGGGGGACCAAACCCCGACCUGCCUUUGAAACUGUUGGUCUUGAGUAUCGGAGAGGCACGCGGAAUUCGUAGUGUAGCGGGGAAAUGCGUAGAUAUUAGGAGGAAUACUGAUUGCGAAGGCGACCUGCUAGAACAUAACUGACGCUGAUGCGCGAAAGCGUGGGGAGCAAACAGGAUUAGAUACCCGUGUAGUC
Molecule: ribosomal RNA, 442 nt
Filed under: uncultured bacterium
Lineage: Bacteria
Description: partial 16S ribosomal RNA
Rfam family: Bacterial small subunit ribosomal RNA
Source: RNAcentral